This 497-nucleotide ribosomal RNA is filed under the name uncultured bacterium. RNAcentral's name for it is "partial 16S ribosomal RNA". It matches the Rfam family "Bacterial small subunit ribosomal RNA", at positions 28 to 507 of the family's 1533-position model. The record is from RNAcentral.
GAUGAACGCUGGCGGCGUGCCUAAUACAUGCAAGUCGAGCGAACAGACGAGGAGCUUGCUCCUUUGACGUUAGCGGCGGACGGGUGAGUAACACGUGGAUAACCUACCUAUAAGACUGGGAUAACUUCGGGAAACCGGAGCUAAUACCGGAUAACAUGUUGAACCGCAUGGUUCAACAGUGAAAGACGGUCUUGCUGUCACUUAUAGAUGGAUCCGCGCCGCAUUAGCUAGUUGGUAAGGUAACGGCUUACCAAGGCAACGAUGCGUAGCCGACCUGAGAGGGUGAUCGGCCACACUGGAACUGAGACACGGUCCAGACUCCUACGGGAGGCAGCAGUAGGGAAUCUUCCGCAAUGGGCGAAAGCCUGCCGGAGCAACGCCGCGUGAGUGAAGAAGGUCUUCGGAUCGUAAAACUCUGUUAUUAGGGAAGAACAAAUGUGUAAGUAACUAUGCACGUCUUGACGGUACCUAAUCAGAAAGCCACGGCUAACUACGUG